RNAcentral lists this ribosomal RNA (307 nucleotides) under Mycoplasmopsis pullorum. RNAcentral describes it as "bacterial SSU rRNA". It matches the Rfam family "Bacterial small subunit ribosomal RNA", at positions 197 to 493 of the family's 1533-position model. Lineage: Bacteria; Bacillati; Mycoplasmatota; Mycoplasmoidales; Metamycoplasmataceae. The record is from RNAcentral.
UAUAUAAAAGAAGCGUUUGCUUCGCUAGAGGAUCGGGGUGCGUAACAUUAGCUUGUUGGUGAGGUAAAGGCUCACCAAGGCGAUGAUGUUUAGCGGGGUUGAGAGACUGAUCCGCCACACUGGGACUGAGAUACGGCCCAGACUCCUACGGGAGGCAGCAGUAGGGAAUUUUCCACAAUGGACGAAAGUCUGAUGGAGCGACACAGCGUGCAGGAUGACGGCCUUCGGGUUGUAAACUGCUGUUAUAAGGGAAGAAAAAAUCAUAGAGGGAAUGCUAUGAUCUUGACGGUACCUUAUCAGAAAGCAA